This 229-nucleotide ribosomal RNA is filed under the name uncultured bacterium. Its description in RNAcentral is "partial 16S ribosomal RNA". It matches the Rfam family "Bacterial small subunit ribosomal RNA", at positions 91 to 334 of the family's 1533-position model. The record is from RNAcentral.
UUUAGUGGCGGACGGGUGAGUAACGCGUAAGAACCUACCUUUAGAGGGGGACAACAGCUGGAAACGGUUGCUAAUACCCCAUAUGCUGAGGAGUAAAAUGGUGUAAUAACCGCCUAAAGAUGGGCUUGCGUCUGAUUAGCUAGUUGGUAAGGUAAAGGCUUACCAAGGCAACGAUCAGUAGCUGGUCUGAGAGGAUGAUCAGCCACACUGGGACUGAGACACGGCCCAG